GAGUGAACGCUAGGCGAUAGGCUUAACACAUGCAAGUCGAGGGGCAGCAUGGUCUUAGCUUGCUAAGGCUGAUGGCGACCGGCGUAAGGGUGCGUAACGCGUAUGUAACUUGCCUUUGAGAGGGGGAUAACCCGGAGAAAUCCGGCCUAAUACCGCGUAUUCUCAAGUUGCUGCAUGGCAGUUUGAGGAAAGAUUUAUUGCUCAGAGAUAGGCAUGCGUUCCAUUAGGUAGUUGGUGAGGUAACGGCUCACCAAGCCGACGGUCAGUAGCCGGCCUGAGAGGGUGAACGGCCACAUUGGGACUGAGACACGGCCCAG
This 317-nucleotide ribosomal RNA is filed under the name uncultured bacterium. RNAcentral's name for it is "bacterial SSU rRNA". It matches the Rfam family "Bacterial small subunit ribosomal RNA", at positions 27 to 334 of the family's 1533-position model. The record is from RNAcentral.